Molecule: ribosomal RNA, 475 nt
Filed under: uncultured organism
Description: partial 16S ribosomal RNA
Rfam family: Bacterial small subunit ribosomal RNA
Source: RNAcentral
ACACUCCUACGGGAGGCAGCAGUGGGGAAUUUUGGACAAUGGGCGAAAGCCUGAUCCAGCAAUGCCGCGUGUGUGAAGAAGGCCUUCGGGUUGUAAAGCACUUUUGUCCGGAAAGAAAUCCUUGGCUCUAAUACAGUCGGGGGAUGACGGUACCGGAAGAAUAAGCACCGGCUAACUACGUGCCAGCAGCCGCGGUAAUACGUAGGGUGCGAGCGUUAAUCGGAAUUACUGGGCGUAAAGCGUGCGCAGGCGGUUUGCUAAGACCGAUGUGAAAUCCCCGGGCUCAACCUGGGAACUGCAUUGGUGACUGGCAGGCUAGAGUAUGGCAGAGGGGGGUAGAAUUCCACGUGUAGCAGUGAAAUGCGUAGAGAUGUGGAGGAAUACCGAUGGCGAAGGCAGCCCCCUGGGCCAAUACUGACGCUCAUGCACGAAAGCGUGGGGAGCAAACAGGAUUAGAAACCCCUGUAGUCCCAUG